Molecule: long non-coding RNA, 4754 nt
Organism: Cercocebus atys (sooty mangabey)
Lineage: Eukaryota; Metazoa; Chordata; Mammalia; Primates; Cercopithecidae
Exons: 3
Source: RefSeq, a predicted model, not a curated record
GUCUCAAAAAAAAAAAAAAAAAAUGAGCUUGGUGGAGGAGGGAAAAAGCUUUCUUCUCCUUCAGUUCAAGGGCUGCCAUUGCAGCAGGUGAAACAAAGCCCUGGCUGUGUGGGGUUUUGUGUUGCUUUAUAUUAGGUGAGCUGCUUUGAGGCAAAACCCUGUUUCCUGUGUCCUUCAUGGGCCAGACACUGUGUGGGGGCUUGAAGUGUAGAAAUAAGGCUGAGGUGGCCUCUGCCCUUCUGAAGGUCACAGUUGAGCUGGGGAGACAGAUGGUACAGGAGAUCCCGGACCAACAGAGCGUCGCCACACGUGGCAAUGACGGCUCCACAGGAAACCCACUAGGCAUGAGGGUGAAGAUCAGGGCUAGGACCGCUUUGGACCGGAGGCGCUCUCUGGCAGGUCUUUCUGAGCAGAGGAUACUUCAGGCAAGUCAAGGAUGAAGCAGAGGGGCUGACAGUGAAUAGCGGGAUGAAGGAGGCCCAGGAGGUGGGCCUGGCGCGUGUCCUGUUCGCCUGCAGAGCCAUGAGCUGGGCUGCUGGGUAAGGGUGGGGUGUGAGAGGCUGGCUUCCCGUUCAGGAGUUUGACCUUCUCCCAAAUGCAAAGGGUAGGUAGUGUGCUCAGAAAUCCAGCGAUGGAGCGCCUCUGCCUCCACUCAGCGCCCACUAUAAAUGUGCUGAAUGAGCAAAAAACAAAUACAGUAGAUGGAUGUUGCAUGCUCAGAAACAUUCCAUUUUAUUUUAUUUUUAAACUUUGGUUUCGAUUUCUAUUAUAUAAAAAGUCACUUCCAUUUAGAUUUGUUUUCACUGCAAGACCAAGCUACAGUGGGGAGAACAGGGUCUGGUGUGUAGCCACGUACCUGCAGCUAGAGGGACGCAGCUUGAGAUGCCCUCCCACUGCCUGGACCUCAUGAAGUGCUUUCACGAACCAAUCUGUCCCCUUUGUCGUCACCAGACAUGCUAGGCUGAGCAGGUAUUCAUAUAGUCUCCACUUUGAAAAUAAGGAUGCAGAGCCUGGGAGAAUGGAAAAGACUUGGCAAGGUCUCUGGAACAUGUGCCUGUGUUCUGGUGAGCUUUCUGUGAGCCUGAGGCAAACGGUGGCCACAUUCAGAAUUACUUGGGCUCCUAGCAGUGGCCUCAGAGGCCUUUGCUGGAGGAGUCUGUGGUGAGCGGGAAGGAGCUUAGGGGUGGCUCUGAUAGACCAUCCCCACUCCCCUUACCACUUCCACACAGUUAAGUCCUUGGUUGGUGCCUGCUCAUCAGGUGGACAGGAGACUCCAUCUCCCUAACCACACUCUGUGCCCACUGGGUGUCCACAUCCUAAACUUCAUUAGGACACUGAAGUCCUGAGGUUGGGGAGGGACCAAAAAGAUCAGUGGAAGUUCUGGCUGUCUCCCCGAUCCCUACACUUAAAUGUUUGUGACUGGAAUGAUUCUGGAUGUGCUAACUGUCUACUGAUGAGCAUCUUGGUCCUCUGGUAUCCUGAAGUCCUGGCCCAGUCUCCUCCUUGGACUUGUUUCCAAGGGAGUCUACUGUGAUCACUAGGAUCACCCCUUAUCAUGUGAGAUUCAUUUAGGUGUGUCAGCAUUUGGGGACACGUGUGACAUUCAGAAUAGCUAGUGUAGAUCUUCAACCACCUUCCAUUCUAUGUUUCCUGGCAGGAGUCCACUGGUAAUUCUUUGAAGCAAAACAAUACUUUUGCAACUUAAUCUUCAGCAUUUGGAAUACAGUAUCUCUUGUCUGAGCUUGAAUGGAAAGAACCCACAGUCUGUGACUUCUAGCCAUUUAGAAAAAUGGCAAUUGCCAUAAGACGUGAACUUGGCAUUUGAAAUCAGCAGACAAUGAGGAGUUAGUGUAAUGUAAAGAGACAAACAUGGGAUUUGGAUAUGGGGAGGGCUGGGUUCCACAUGCUUUUCACUUGCUGUCAUGGGACUUUGGAGUGGACAAUUUUCAUGAUCUCACUAAAGCCCAUUUUUAUCACCUUUUAAAUGGGGGAUAAUACCAUCUACCUCAUAAUAUAUUUGUGAGGAUUAAAAGAGAGGAAUUAAAAUACCUGGCACAUAAGAAACACUCAAGAAAUAUUAGUUUAUCUGCCCCUUUACUCUUAAUGAUUUAAUUAAUCACUCCAAAAAUAGAACAUUCUUCAGAAUAGACUCCUACCCAUUUGCUGUUGAUGGGACAUCCAAAGGGAUGUGCAGUUCUUUUGUUUGGUGUAUAAUAAGUUGACUUUGCACUUUAAAAGGGGAAAAAGGAAACCUCUGGUACCUCAAACAAUGACCCUUUUAAAGUCUGCGCUGGACACCAUUCUCAAAGAAUAUUCUUAUUAACAUACUUUAUUAUAAAUGGAGCUCUACUCAUCAAAUAUGUAUAAGUUAGUAGCCUGCAGAGUCAGAGCAGUGCUUGGCAAACCUGAGGACAUUUCCCAUGUGCGCUGUGGGAUGGCAUAGGCAGGGGAUACCCUUUAAUUUUGUGACAUGGUUUGGGGGGGCUCCAAUGUGAGGUACUCUUGGCAUGGUUUCUUCCAGCUCUGGGCCUGUUCUGGGGCCUGUCAGGACUCCCACAUAUCCCAUCCUUGCAGGCAACUCCCUUUGAAGUCCAUGGGAACUCUUUGAAUGGAAAACAUACACAACGGGGUGUUGAUGCCAAUAAGAAUCAGGCCUGAUGUAUGCGAGGAAUAAAGGUGCUUCUCACCCCAAAUAUUAGCUCUUUAGCCCAGAAACUAUGGUUUGAUCAUUAAAUAAAAGAGCACUCCCCUCCUCUCCAAAGAGAGGAGCUCCACCAUCCAUUUGCUCUGGAGAUGAUAAACCUGCUAAUUGCUGGAGAGUUUUAAUUAAGCAACAGAUAGAGACAGUGUAGGGCUGUGUUUUUACUUUAAACAUAUCAAUAGAAUAAACAUUCUCAAUUCCAGGGCAACUUGCUAAAUGAAAAAAAAAAAUAAACAUUACUUUCUUUUGAAAUAUCACUCAUUGGGUGUGAUAAUUUAGAAAAAUAUCCCUAUUAGAGAUAGUUAGGGACGUUUUUUCUUUUUCUUUUUUUCUUUUUUGGUUGAAAAUGCAAUCGCCGAUGGAGCACAAAGCUGCAAUUUGUAGACAGGUUAAGUAAAUUAAAUCACUCACUGUCUUUUUCUUUUUUCCAAUGGCUUUAAAAGUUAAAGGUAAUUUGCAAAGAAAAUGCUCAGUUUGAAUUGGUUUGUAAUAUCUGUUAAUGAUCUUUAAAAAAAUCCACUUAUUCACAAUUCUGUCCCUGGGGGAAUUCCGAUGUGCUAUCAGAAAAAAUUUCUAAAGUCUGAAAUGUCAUUAGCUGGUGAUUUCUUUGAAGUAAAAAGCCCCGAAAAAAAUAAAUUAUAUAAGGUAUACAAGUGCACAGGACAAUCACUUUGAUGAAUAGUAUCUCUUUUUUCGUAAUGUUUCAUACCUAAAAAUGCAACAAUUGAAAUUCAAGCUGGUAAAUUAUAGAGCCAUCUUUUGAAUUACCUCAAUGUAGGCAUGCCUUCUGUUUAUUUCUCACAUAUAUUGAGUUCUUCCAUGUAUUUAUAGAUUGUUGAUAUAAAAACAGUAGUGUUAGGAACAAUUUUGAUUAUAUUCAUUGUGUUUACUUUUUGGAAACACAAGGUGUUGCCUAAAUACAGGCAUACAGGUGUUGCCAUCCGGGGAUUAAAACAAUAGCCUAUUUCAAUAUUCCAUCCUGGAUCCCAGAGCCAGGUGCCGUGAAUGGAGGUGCAAAUGCUACUCAGCCCGGGAGAGUUGUUCAAUAUUAGAUAACAGAGCCAUGAAAUACUACACCAAAGGGAAAAUUUUCUUCCUGACCCCAGCUGGUGAUCAGUUUUUGCCUGGAAGCAGGGGAGUCUUUGUAAUACAAUACUUGUCAAUGUUGCUGGUUUGGCUGCUAUAAAUAGCUUUUUUUUUUUUUUUUUUUGGAGGAUGGGAGGAGUUGGAUUUUACUAAACCGUUGGCUACAGGUUAAUUAUACAUUUCACACAAAAGCAUUUCUUGUAGCCAGUCUAAAUUUGUUAUGUUUUAAUCCCAUUUUAUAUAAGGCUAGAAAUAUAUGAGCCUCCAGCAGGCCCGUUAUUAUUGUCAUUAUUUUAUACAUUGGACCUUCAGCUCUCUCUCUCUCUCUCUCUUUUUCUUUUUCCUCUCUAUGCAUUACUCACCUCUUAGCUAAAUUGCAGAGGGUCCCAGUUUCAUUCAUUCUCCCUCACAGGGAAGGCAUUCACUUCCUCUUCCUCCAGCGGCCUGAAAAUCAUAUGUGUGGUUUUUCCUCUUUCCUGCUCUGUAGCUGACAUCAGGGGAGCAAACUGAACACAGGAAAAUGGAAAUCAACAUUUGAAACUUUUAAAUGGAAGCUUUCCACAUAUGGAAAACUGCAAAUAGCAGAAGUGUGUGACUUGAUAAAUUAAUCUGGAGUGACCACAUCCUCUAACUGCCUCCCAGGACAAGAAGGAGAAUGUGAACAAUGCUCCUGAAGGCCCCUUUCCCUCAAAGAAUCACUGCAGUUGAAGGAAAAAUGCUCCGUGUCCCCUCUGCUGGUUGGUAUUUAUCAAAGGACGAUGGAGGAAGAGAGACAAAGUGCCUGGAUGUGUGUGUUAAUCAAGAGUUGUCAGGACCCUGCCUCUAAAAGAAAGUGCUAAAAUGAUGCUUUUGACAAGACUUUUCUCAAAGUGGAUGCAGUCCAAGGGUUGGAAAACAAGUCCCAAUCAGGCUAGGUGCGACUUGUCGCCUGCUUUCGUAAAUAAAGUUUUAUUGGCUCACAGACACA